UACAGAGGGUGCAAGCGUUAAUCGGAAUUACUGGGCGUAAAGCGUGCGUAGACGGUAGCGUAAGUCGGGUGUGAAAGCCCCGGGCUCAACCUGGGAAUUGCAUUCGAGACUGCGUAGCUAGGGUGCGGAAGAGGGAAGCGGAAUUUCCGGUGUAGCGGUGAAAUGCGUAGAUAUCAGGAGGAACACCAGUGGCGAAGGCGGCUUUCUGGACGAUAACUGACGCUGAGACGCGAAAGCGUGGGGAGCAAACAGG
This 253-nucleotide ribosomal RNA is filed under the name uncultured bacterium. Its description in RNAcentral is "partial 16S ribosomal RNA". It matches the Rfam family "Bacterial small subunit ribosomal RNA", at positions 524 to 776 of the family's 1533-position model. The record is from RNAcentral.